This 504-nucleotide ribosomal RNA is filed under the name Flavobacterium sp. secD6. RNAcentral describes it as "bacterial SSU rRNA". It matches the Rfam family "Bacterial small subunit ribosomal RNA", at positions 355 to 861 of the family's 1533-position model. The record is from RNAcentral. Lineage: Bacteria; Pseudomonadati; Bacteroidota; Flavobacteriia; Flavobacteriales; Flavobacteriaceae. RNAcentral also lists the same sequence under 1 other name.
UGAGGAAUAUUGGACAAUGGGCGCAAGCCUGAUCCAGCCAUGCCGCGUGCAGGAUGACGGUCCUAUGGAUUGUAAACUGCUUUUGUACGAGAAGAAACACUGCUUCGUGAAGCAGCUUGACGGUAUCGUAAGAAUAAGGAUCGGCUAACUCCGUGCCAGCAGCCGCGGUAAUACGGAGGAUCCAAGCGUUAUCCGGAAUCAUUGGGUUUAAAGGGUCCGUAGGCGGUUUAGUAAGUCAGUGGUGAAAGCCCAUCGCUCAACGGUGGAACGGCCAUUGAUACUGCUGAACUUGAAUUAUUAGGAAGUAACUAGAAUAUGUAGUGUAGCGGUGAAAUGCUUAGAGAUUACAUGGAAUACCAAUUGCGAAGGCAGGUUACUACUAAUUGAUUGACGCUGAUGGACGAAAGCGUGGGGAGCGAACAGGAUUAGAUACCCUGGUAGUCCACGCCGUAAACGAUGGAUACUAGCUGUUGGGCGCAAGUUCAGUGGCUAAGCGAAAGUGAU